UACAGAGGUCUCAAGCGUUGUUCGGAUUCAUUGGGCGUAAAGGGCGCGUAGGCGGCGAGGUAAGUCGGGUGUGAAAUCUCAGAGCUCAACUCUGAAACUGCACUCGAUACUGCUUUGCUAGAGGACUGGAGAGGAGAUUGGAAUUCACGGUGUAGCAGCGAAAUGCGUAGAGAUCGUGAGGAAGACCAGUGGCGAAGGCGGCUACCUGGACAAUUGCUGACGCUCAGGCACGAAAGCGUGGGGAGCAAAAGGG
RNAcentral lists this ribosomal RNA (253 nucleotides) under uncultured bacterium. Its description in RNAcentral is "partial 16S ribosomal RNA". It matches the Rfam family "Bacterial small subunit ribosomal RNA", at positions 524 to 776 of the family's 1533-position model. The record is from RNAcentral.